GAUGAACGCUGGCGGCGUGCCUAAUACAUGCAAGUCGAGCGAACAGAUGAGGAGCUUGCUCCUCUGACAUUAGCGGCGGACGGGUGAGUAACACGUGGAUAACCUACCUAUAAGACUGGGAUAACUUCGGGAAACCGGAGCUAAGACCGGAUAAUAUAUUGAACCGCAUGGUUCAAUAGUGAAAGACGGUUUUGCUGUCACUUAUAGAUGGAUCCGCGCCGCAUUAGCUAGUUGGUAAGGUAACGGCUUACCAAGGCAACGAUGCGUAGCCGACCUGAGAGGGUGAUCGGCCACACUGGAACUGAGACACGGUCCAGACUCCUACGGGAGGCAGCAGUAGGGAAUCUUCCGCAAUGGGCGAAAGCCUGACGGAGCAACGCCGCGUGAGUGAUGAAGGUCUUCGGAUCGUAAAACUCUGUUAUUAGGGAAGAACAAAUGUGUAAGUAACUAUGCACGUCUUGACGGUACCUAAUCAGAAAGCCACGGCUAACUACGUG
RNAcentral lists this ribosomal RNA (497 nucleotides) under uncultured bacterium. RNAcentral's name for it is "partial 16S ribosomal RNA". It matches the Rfam family "Bacterial small subunit ribosomal RNA", at positions 28 to 507 of the family's 1533-position model. The record is from RNAcentral.